AGACCCCGGAUCCUCCUGCGUGGCAUGCCGGCGGCGUUACCACUCGGCCAUCUGGCCACCACUUCAUAUUCUUUUCGGUCAACAGAUGAUUUUCCACGUUCCAUUCUCUAAUAAUAAGUGACGGGAUGAAACAAGCCUUCCUGCAAGCUGCCACCCCUAUGGAGAGGUCAGCCGGAUUGUGGAGGACAGGGAUCGAUGGACAGCCCGAACCUCAAGAUAGAUUCGAGUCCUAUUAUGAAAAUGUUUGAGUUCUCCAGAAACGAAAACCGAAGCGUUUCUACGCGGUCAAUCCACCCGACUGGUAACUGCAUACUUUAUGUUCGGCAAUCUGUAAGGUCAGUGCAAGGAUGUUUUUAUGGAUCAGUGCUGCAAACAUUACUUAUUUACUUUAUUUUUCAAUAAAUAAUAAAAUUUAUGAAUAUAUAUAUAUAUAUACAAUUUAUUUUU
This 447-nucleotide long non-coding RNA is filed under the name Androctonus crassicauda. Lineage: Eukaryota; Metazoa; Arthropoda; Arachnida; Scorpiones; Buthidae. The record is from RNAcentral.